This 446-nucleotide ribosomal RNA is filed under the name uncultured bacterium. RNAcentral's name for it is "SSU rRNA". It matches the Rfam family "Bacterial small subunit ribosomal RNA", at positions 26 to 518 of the family's 1533-position model. The record is from RNAcentral.
AGAGCGAACGCUGGCGGCAGGCUUAACACAUGCAAGUCGAGCGGGCGUAGCAAUACGUCAGCGGCAGACGGGUGAGUAACGCGUGGGAACAUACCUUUUGGUUCGGAACAACCCAGGGAAACUUGGGCUAAUACCGGAUAAGCCCUUACGGGGAAAGAUUUAUCGCCAAAAGAUUGGCCCGCGUCUGAUUAGCUAGUUGGUGAGGUAACGGCUCACCAAGGCGACGAUCAGUAGCUGGUCUGAGAGGAUGAUCAGCCACAUUGGGACUGAGACACGGCCCAAACUCCUACGGGAGGCAGCAGUGGGGAAUAUUGGACAAUGGGCGAAAGCCUGAUCCAGCGACGUCGCGUGGGUGAUUAAGGCCUUCGGGUUGUAAGCCUUUCGGCAGGGAAGAUAAUGACGGUACCUGCAAAGAAGACUCCGGCUAACUUCGUGCCAGCAGCCGC